GUCUCCGAUGAUGUAUUUUUUACCUUCAUUCUUUUGAAGUUUCAAUGUAGCUAGAAUAAUGUUUUGGACCCCGAACUGAGGGGUU
RNAcentral lists this small nucleolar RNA (85 nucleotides) under Leersia perrieri. RNAcentral's name for it is "Small nucleolar RNA Z159/U59". It matches the Rfam family "Small nucleolar RNA Z159/U59". Rfam says of the family: This family consists of several snoRNA Z159 or U59 sequences which are members of the C/D class of snoRNA which contain the C (UGAUGA) and D (CUGA) box motifs. This family seems to be found exclusively in rice. C/D box small nucleolar RNAs are known to act as a methylation guides for 18S ribosomal RNA in plants. Lineage: Eukaryota; Viridiplantae; Streptophyta; Magnoliopsida; Poales; Poaceae. The record is from Rfam by way of RNAcentral.